This 346-nucleotide ribosomal RNA is filed under the name uncultured soil bacterium. RNAcentral's name for it is "bacterial SSU rRNA". It matches the Rfam family "Bacterial small subunit ribosomal RNA", at positions 26 to 399 of the family's 1533-position model. The record is from RNAcentral.
AGAACGAACGCUGGCGGCAUGCCUAAUACAUGCAAGUCGAACGAACACUUCGGUGUUAGUGGCGCACGGGUGCGUAACGCGUGGGAAUCUGCCCUUGGGUUCGGAAUAACAGUUGGAAACGACUGCUAAUACCGGAUGAUGACGAAAGUCCAAAGAUUUAUCGCCCAGGGAUGAGCCCGCGUAGGAUUAGCUAGUUGGUGAGGUAAAGGCUCACCAAGGCGACGAUCCUUAGCUGGUCUGAGAGGAUGAUCAGCCACACUGGGACUGAGACACGGCCCAGACUCCUACGGGAGGCAGCAGUAGGGAAUAUUGGACAAUGGGGCGCAAGCCUGAUCCAGCAAUGCCG